GACGGAGGAUGCAAGCGUUAUCCGGAAUUAUUGGGCGUAAAGCGUCCGCAGGUGGCUGUUCAAGUCUGCUGUCAAAGCGCAGAGCUUAACUCUGUACAGGCGGUGGAAACUGAAGAGCUAGAGUAUGGUAGGGGUAGAGGGAAUUCCCGGUGUAGCGGUGAAAUGCGUAGAUAUCGGGAAGAACACCAGUGGCGAAAGCGCUCUACUGGGCCAUAACUGACACUGAGGGACGAAAGCGUGGGGAGCGAUCCGG
RNAcentral lists this ribosomal RNA (253 nucleotides) under uncultured bacterium. Its description in RNAcentral is "partial 16S ribosomal RNA". It matches the Rfam family "Bacterial small subunit ribosomal RNA", at positions 524 to 776 of the family's 1533-position model. The record is from RNAcentral.